CGUGGUGGGCCAUGUAGAAAUCUAGCACCCUUAAUCACCAUGCUACCUGCCAACCCCUUUGGGUAUUCUUUAAUUUAGGAAGGCUGGUGUUCUUUUCCAGGUCCUCAGUGCUGAGCAUGCUACAUGGUUUUUUUUUUUUUAAAAAAAAGAUGGCCUCCCUUUCAGAAUCCUUCUUUCAAGCUUUCUGUUUAACACAUUCUUCCUUUUCCAAAAUGACAGUUACAUGUGAGUAUUGAUUUUGCUCUUGAUUAUCCCAGCUAAGUAGAAACUUGUGAAACACAUGGUAAUCAUAAAAAUAAAACAUAACAAAACAAAUCAACAACAACAACAAAAAUUUCCUGUUAGGAAGUUCUAGUGGGUGGGCUUAGGAAUACCUUUCUUAUGGAGAAAGUGGUGCAAUUAUUUUCACCUCUGGGAGAAUGAAAAACUUCACAGUAGUCAACCAAGGGGAGGUGUGGAGGCAAUGGAAUUGCUGUCUCCCACCCCUAAUGUGGGAUAAGAUGUCUACACUCCGCUUUGCUCUCAAGUAUUAAUUCCCCUCUUUCUCCAAAGAGCAGCAAUGGCUGAGGGGACAUUGGCAUGCAAAUACUUGCAAAGUGAAAAUGGAUACACUUCCAUAGCUCCUCAUCUCUGGCCUCCGGAGGACAGUCUGCCAACCCUGCAUGCUUUUUGGUUUGGCACUGAGACAAAUGUUCCCUGGAGCAUAGACUGAAACCACCAAGUUGAUAUCACAUGGGACGUCGGCCAAAUUCUGACCUUGUUCUCUGUAGGGAUUUAAUUUAGCACACAGGGUGCUGAGUCUUCCAGUAAGCCACUUUGGUCAUUAUUUCCAACUUGAAGGAAUAAAGAGACAGCAGGGUACAGUGGAAAGAGUCGGGCCUGAAGCAAGAACGCCCCAGAUACUAGACCCUGCUCUGCUUCUAACCAGCAGUGAGACUCUGGUGGUGAGCCUGUUUCUUUAGCCCUUGGAUGAGACAUUUGGACAAGAAGAUUUCUAAUUUUUGCCCAUUUUGCCAUUCUCUUGACCCCACUGCUUAUAUGAAAUCCAUACUGGGUUAUUCCAGGGCCACUCUUCUUCUUUUGAAAAACUUUAUUGUUCAAUGAAUGAACAAGGUAUGAGAAGAGUUCCUAACCUAGAUUUCUCUGGUGCAGAAUGAGGGGAAAAUCUAUAUUUUAAAAUCAGUAUCCCGAGGCCGAUUGCCCAAAUAUAAAAUUCUGUAUCCUACCUUAAAAUGUGAAACAAUGUUUUCCACCAGAAUAAGAAAGUGGUCCAAGUGGCUUUUGUGGUUCUCUAAGAAUCGAAUUUCUACACUGUAGCAUAAGCACUUAUAAUUGUUUAAGUAAAAUUACUUGUGGAAGGAAAAGGUUAAAGUUGGCUACUGAUAUUCAUCAAGAGAUGGAUAUUUAAUCUUUAAUCUCUUGUCCUAGGCCUCUACUUUGGAUCAACUCAUUAUCCCGAAUAAACGAUGUGUCAUUCCCAUUAUUUAUGUUUCAGUGCAGCCAAAGUAUCUGGACCUCGUUUUAAUGGAGUAACCGAGAGACUACAAAGUGACAUCACCAGCAGGCGGUGACCUAAGGAGUCAGGGCCAGAGCCAGGUCUGGGAUCCAGACUUCCUGGCUGUUGACCCAGGUUCCCUUCUGCCAUGCAGCUUUCACCAGGAUGCUGGAGGGACCAGGGAAGUGUCUGUUUCGGGGCUCUCUCAGUUGCCCUUGGACGUUUAUCAUCUAUCAACUGAAUGUUGACUAAAAACACACUAAUUCCUGAGGAGCCCUUACAGGAUGUCCUGUUGAGACUUUUCCUCCUUUUUUGUCAGUGCUUUGCUGGCAGAUUAAAAUUCAGUGGACCCCAUUUGUAGGAAGUCUGAUAAAAUAUUCUCAUCUCUAUUG
Molecule: long non-coding RNA, 1887 nt
Organism: Tupaia belangeri chinensis (Chinese tree shrew)
Lineage: Eukaryota; Metazoa; Chordata; Mammalia; Scandentia; Tupaiidae
Exons: 3
Source: RefSeq, a predicted model, not a curated record